This 694-nucleotide long non-coding RNA is filed under the name Mytilus galloprovincialis (Mediterranean mussel). The record is from RNAcentral. Lineage: Eukaryota; Metazoa; Mollusca; Bivalvia; Mytilida; Mytilidae.
GCUCUCAAGUCAUUACUGUCCAUUCUUUUUCUCUUCCGCACUUCCCUUGAAAAGAAGCUGGUAAUCUGUUGUGCAGUCACGUAUUCAUUUCUGCUAAAACUGUAUUUUCCAAAGACUGUUUUUAUGCCCCACCUACGAUAGUAGAGGGGCAUUAUGUUUUCUGGCUUGUGCCUCCGUUCGUCCGUCCGUCUGUGCGUCCGUUCGUCCGUCCGCUUCAGGUUAAAGUUUUUGGUCAAGGCAGUUUUUGAAGAAGUUGAAGUCCAAUCAACUUGAAACUUAGUACACAUGUUCCCCAUGAUAUUAUCUUUCUAAUUUUACUGCCAAAUUAUAGUUUUGACCCCAAUUUCAUGGUCCACUGAAUAUAGAAAAUGAUAGUGCGAAGUUCAGGUUAAAGUUUUUGGUCAAGGUAGUUUUUGAUGAAGUUAAAGUUACAUCAACUUGAAACUUAGUACACAUGUUCCCUCUGAUAUGAUCUUUCUAAUUUUAAUUCCAAAUUAAAGUUUUGACCCCAAUUUCACGGUCCACUGAACAUAGAAAAUGAUAGUGCGAGUGGGGCAUUCGUGUACUAUGGACACAUUCUUGUUUCAUUACGCAUUUCAUCAGCAACUACAACUGGGUCCUCCUUUCUUCCAGUUUGGUUUCCUUUGUCAAAAUUUUGUAUAAGAUAUUCUUUCUGAUGAACACAUAAUUGCAC